RNAcentral lists this ribosomal RNA (374 nucleotides) under uncultured Sphingobacteriales bacterium. Its description in RNAcentral is "bacterial SSU rRNA". It matches the Rfam family "Bacterial small subunit ribosomal RNA", at positions 1009 to 1382 of the family's 1533-position model. The record is from RNAcentral. Lineage: Bacteria; Pseudomonadati; Bacteroidota; Sphingobacteriia; Sphingobacteriales.
CUUACAUCUCUUCGGGCAUUUUACGAGGUGCUGCAUGGUUGUCGUCAGCUCGUGCCGUGAGGUGUCGGGUUAAGUCCCAUAACGAGCGCAACCCCUACCUUUAGUUGCCAUCAGGUUAAGCUGGGGACUCCAAAGGAACUGCCUACGCAAGUAGUGAGGAAGGCGGGGAUGACGUCAAAUCAGCACGGCCUUACGUCCAGGGCUACACACGUGCUACAAUGGCCGGCACAACGGGAAGCGAAGGGGCGACCCUGAGCGGAUCCCACAAAAGCCGGUCUACAGUUCGGAUUGCAGUCUGCAACUCGACUGCAUGAAGUUGGAAUCGCUAGUAAUCGCGCAUCAGCCAUGGCGCGGUGAAUACGUUCCCGGGCCUU